ACCUUUUAAUAAUAUUAUUCUUUUCAAGUUAUAAUAACAAAAAUAGUAACCGAUUUGAUAGUACUGAAUACCAUUGUACCAUUGUGAAUAGGAUAGAGUGAAAUUCGGUUUAAUUUUUUGUUUCUUCUAUUAUCCUGUUUUGGACAUACAUUAACUCGGAGAAGGAAGAAGAUGUCCAAACGUGGUAAUUGGAAGAACUGGUAUGAGUUUAUAUUUUCCUGCAUUGGUUGCCUUGUGGGACUGGGAAAUAUCUGGAGGUUCCCAUAUCUGUGCUACAAAAAUGGAGGGGGUGCAUUUCUUAUUCCAUACUUCAUAUUCAUAAUGCUGUGCGCAAUUCCUAUCUUUUUCCUGGAAAUGUCGUAUGCACAAUUUUCAAAUCUCGGACCUGGUAAAGCAUGGAUAUGUGUACCAUUAUUGAGAGGUA
This is a long non-coding RNA of Ruditapes philippinarum (Manila clam), 424 nucleotides long. RefSeq lists it as uncharacterized. The transcript has 3 exons. The record is from RefSeq and is a predicted model, not a curated record. NCBI's taxonomy places the organism in Eukaryota, Metazoa, Mollusca, Bivalvia, Venerida, Veneridae.